AGGAUAAACGCUGGCGGCGUGCAUGAGACAUGCAAGUCGAACGGGUGACUUAGGGCUUGCUCUAAGUCGCUAGUGGCGGACGGCUGAGUAACGCGUAGGUGACCUGCCCCGAAGUGGGGAAUAACUGCCCGAAAGGGUGGCUAAUACCGCAUGUGGUGGUGUGUUCAUUCACACCAGUAAAGCCGCAAGGCGCUUCGGGAGGGGCCUGCGUCCGAUUAGCUCGUUGGUGGGGUAACGGCUCACCAAGGCGACGAUCGGUAGGUGGUCUGAGAGGACGAUCACCCAGACUGGGACUGAGACACGGCCCAGACUCCUACGGGAGGCAGCAGUCGGGAAUUUUGCGCAAUGGACGAAAGUCUGACGCAGCAACGCCGCGUGAGGGAUGAAGGCCUUCGGGUUGUAAACCUCUUUUAUCAGGGAAGAUAAUGACGGUACCUGAUGAAUAAGUCACGGCUAACUACGUGCCAGCAGCCGC
RNAcentral lists this ribosomal RNA (475 nucleotides) under uncultured bacterium. Its description in RNAcentral is "SSU rRNA". It matches the Rfam family "Bacterial small subunit ribosomal RNA", at positions 26 to 518 of the family's 1533-position model. The record is from RNAcentral.